Molecule: ribosomal RNA, 446 nt
Filed under: Granulicatella adiacens
Lineage: Bacteria; Bacillati; Bacillota; Bacilli; Lactobacillales; Carnobacteriaceae
Description: bacterial SSU rRNA
Rfam family: Bacterial small subunit ribosomal RNA
Source: RNAcentral
GACGAACGCUGGCGGCGUGCCUAAUACAUGCAAGUCGAACGAGAGCGACCGGUGCUUGCACUGGUCAAUCUAGUGGCGAACGGGUGAGUAACACGUGGGUAACCUGCCCAUCAGAGGGGGAUAACAUCCGGAAACGGAUGCUAAAACCGCAUAGGUCUUCGAGCCGCAUGGCUUGAAGAGGAAAAGAGGCGCAAGCUUCUGCUGAUGGAUGGACCCGCGGUGCAUUAGCUAGUUGGUGAGGUAACGGCUCACCAAGGCCGUGAUGCAUAGCCGACCUGAGAGGGUGAUCGGCCACAUUGGGACUGAGACACGGCCCAAACUCCUACGGGAGGCAGCAGUAGGGAAUCUUCCGCAAUGGACGCAAGUCUGACGGAGCAACGCCGCGUGAGUGAAGAAGGUUUUCGGAUCGUAAAACUCUGUUGUUAGAAAAGAACAAGUGCUAGAGU